CCAGACUCCUACGGGAGGCAGCAGUAGGGAAUCUUCCGCAAUGGGCGAAAGCCUGACGGAGCAACGCCGCGUGAGUGAAGAAGGAUUUCGGUUCGUAAAGCUCUGUUGUUAGGGAAGAAUGGAUAUGUAGUAACUAUACAUGUACGAGACGGUACCUAACCAGAAAGCCACGGCUAACUACGUGCCAGCAGCCGCGGUAAUACGUAGGUGGCAAGCGUUGUCCGGAAUUAUUGGGCGUAAAGCGCGCGCAGGUGGUUUAAUAAGUCUGAUGUGAAAGCCCACGGCUCAACCGUGGAGGGUCAUUGGAAACUGUUAAACUUGAGUGCAGGAGAGAAAAGUGGAAUUCCUAGUGUAGCGGUGAAAUGCGUAGAGAUUAGGAGGAACACCAGUGGCGAAGGCGGCUUUUUGGCCUGUAACUGACACUGAGGCGCGAAAGCGUGGGGAGCAAACAGGAUUAGAUACCCUGGUAGUCCACGCCGUAAACGAUGAGUGCUAAGUGUUGGUCUCAUAAGAGAUCAGUGCUGCAGCUAACGCAUUAAGCACUCCGCCUGGGGAGUACGACCGCAAGGUUGAAACUCAAAGGAAUUGACGGGGGCCCGCACAAG
Molecule: ribosomal RNA, 605 nt
Filed under: uncultured bacterium
Lineage: Bacteria
Description: bacterial SSU rRNA
Rfam family: Bacterial small subunit ribosomal RNA
Source: RNAcentral